UACGGAGGAUGCAAGCGUUAUCCGGAAUGAUUGGGCGUAAAGCGUCCGCAGGUGGCUAUGUAAGUCUGCUGUUAAAGAGUGAGGCUCAACCUCAUAAGAGCAGUGGAAACUACAUAGCUAGAGUGCGUUCGGGGCAGAGGGAAUUCCUGGUGUAGCGGUGAAAUGCGUAGAUAUCAGGAAGAACACCGGUGGCGAAAGCGCUCUGCUAGGCCGCAACUGACACUCAGGGACGAAAGCUAGGGGAGCGAAUGGG
RNAcentral lists this ribosomal RNA (253 nucleotides) under uncultured bacterium. Its description in RNAcentral is "partial 16S ribosomal RNA". It matches the Rfam family "Bacterial small subunit ribosomal RNA", at positions 524 to 776 of the family's 1533-position model. The record is from RNAcentral.